RNAcentral lists this ribosomal RNA (303 nucleotides) under uncultured bacterium. RNAcentral describes it as "partial 16S ribosomal RNA". It matches the Rfam family "Bacterial small subunit ribosomal RNA", at positions 510 to 808 of the family's 1533-position model. The record is from RNAcentral.
AGCAGUGCCGCGGGAACACGGAGGGGGCUAGCGUUGUUCGGAAUUACUGGGCGUAAAGCGUACGUAGGCGGCUUUGUAAGUUAGAGGUGAAAGCCUGGUGCUCAACACCAGAACUGCCUUUAAGACUGCAUCGCUUGAACGUCGGAGAGGUGAGUGGAAUUCCGAGUGUAGAGGUGAAAUUCGUAGAUAUUCGGAAGAACACCAGUGGCGAAGGCGGCUCUCUGGACUGUAACUGACGCUGAGGCGCGAAAGCGUGGGGAGCAAACAGGAUUAGAGACCCCUGUAGUCCCUGUCUCUUAUACA